ACUGGUAGCUCCACUUUUAGAGAGAGAAGUUCCUACAUCUCUCUAGAAAACUCAAACAGAAACAGCUUUCUCCCUGCGUUGGUUUGUUUUGUGCUUGUAAAUAAGGCUUCGGCGGCUGCGGUUAUGGUGGCUUAAAGGGUGACGAGUGUUUGGCUCAUGGCUGUAGUGUUGUGGAGCACGGUGAGAUAAUGAAAACACCGCCGGAGCUUACCCCAGGCCCAUAGAAAAAGAAUGGCCCCACCACCAUCGAGUCCUUCACCUAAAAAGCAAAACAACGCAGCGGCUGCCAUUCCUACAAAGCCUACGAUGGCAACAAUCCUUGCUGUCGGUGGAAGGGUUGCAACGGUGGAGCUGGAUGUGGUGGUCCUAAACGAUGGAGGUGGAGGGUCUCAGUGUGAGUGGUUUUUGUGGUGUUUGGCACCCUCAGCUGCUUGGAGUGCUCAACCACUGGAUUCCUAGCUUAACGGCAUGCUUGGAGAGCUCCAUCUAUGAUGGUUCUUGGCGUGGGUGUUGUGGUGCAACUCGGAGGAGCUUCAGUGCUCCUGCGGUCAUGCUUUCCACGGAUCCCAAAAUGGUGGAGAGGGGUGGAUGCAUACUAAUGUGCAUGGAAUGCUGUGUUUUGACCAUGGAAAACAGAGGAGCUUUUCGACUGCUAGGGUGAAUUCUUUUAUGGGAUAGCUCACGGCGGUGCAACCACGGUGGUUGACUAGUCUACAGUUGUUGCAACAGCAGUGGGUUUAGUGUCGUGGUUAUCGCACUCCGAGUAACAUGCCGUGAUGUCGGGGGAGGCACCCAUGCUCGCUAUCCAAAAUGUGCAGAAAAAGUGGGUGUUGUCAAGAAACAGCUAUCAAGGCGUGGGCUGGACAACAGACCAUCGUGAUCACAGCCAGUCGAAGGACCUUUUCAAAUUUGAGUGCUUCUAUACGGCCGCCUACACAACACACCUUACGUGUAAUUUCUUUAUUUUUUUUUUUUUUUUUUAACAUGCGUUUUGUUUUACUUUUGCUGUUAUUUCAGCCUCCUACCAUUUGAAAUGUUCUCUGGCCCCCGCCAUUCGAAUUUCGAAAUCUUCUCCAGCCCCCUCCCUUCCGACGCGCACCAAUAGCCUUCGUGUGUGCUCCACCGUGCCGACGUACUCCCCCAUGUUCUCUCGGCGACGACGAUCUGUUCGCAGCAUUCACUUUUUACGGAUCGACCAAGAUCUGCCUCAGAUUGUGUAGCUGAGCUUUCUCUCUCUCAAAGGUGUUUGUGAAAUGGAAACUGUGAUGGAGUGAGAGAGGGAGAAAGAAAGCAUGCAUACUGAUUUGGUGCAAUCUUACAGCAUCGUGUGACUAGACAGGUGACAACUGAUUUUUUGGCAGCAUUGUGAGACUGGACUUGAGAAUUAUUUUUUGGCAGCUUGUAUACAUGCUGCUUUCCAGACAUGUUGUGCAGAAUUUUCUGGGGACAUAAAUAUCAGCAGCUUGUGUGGAGAAACAUGGCUAGAUUGUGUAUAUGCUGUUUGUGGGCAGUUAUGUGUACCAUCCAUGUACAUAAAUGUUGUGGAUUGUGUCCAAGUGUAUGUGUAUGGAUGUUUUUGUGUCCAGUUGUGUAAGCACUUAGUGAAUAUUUUCGAUUGUGGAGACCUUUAACAAUGUUGAUGUAUAGAUUUUGAUUCCUUUAACAAUGCUUAUGUAUAGAUUUUGAUUCCAAAUCUUACUUAUCAAAAAAAGAUUUUGAUUCCAAAUCAGGAAUUUGGAGUAUUUGUUGUAAAGCUUACCAUGUGUAUUUGUAUAUGAAAUCAAUCAUGGUUCAAUGUCAA
Molecule: long non-coding RNA, 1801 nt
Organism: Carya illinoinensis
Lineage: Eukaryota; Viridiplantae; Streptophyta; Magnoliopsida; Fagales; Juglandaceae
Exons: 3
Source: RefSeq, a predicted model, not a curated record